AUUGAACGCUGGCGGCAUGCUUUACACAUGCAAGUCGAACGGUAACAGGCCGCAAGGUGCUGACGAGUGGCGAAUGGGUGAGUAAUGCAUCGGAACGUGCCCAGUCGUGGGGGAUAACUACUCGAAAGAGUAGCUAAUACCGCAUACGAUCUAUGGAUGAAAGCGGGGGACCGUAAGGCCUCGCGCGAUUGGAGCGGCCGAUGUCAGAUUAGGUAGUUGGUGGGGUAAAGGCUCACCAAGCCAACGAUCUGUAGCUGGUCUGAGAGGACGACCAGCCACACUGGGACUGAGACACGGCCCAGACUCCUACGGGAGGCAGCAGUGGGGAAUUUUGGACAAUGGGCGCAAGCCUGAUCCAGCAAUGCCGCGUGCAGGAAGAAGGCCUUCGGGUUGUAAACUGCUUUUGUACGGAACGAAACGGCUCUGGUUAAUACCCGGGGCUAAUGACGGUACCGUAAGAAUAAGCACCGGCUAACUACGUG
This 482-nucleotide ribosomal RNA is filed under the name uncultured bacterium. RNAcentral describes it as "partial 16S ribosomal RNA". It matches the Rfam family "Bacterial small subunit ribosomal RNA", at positions 30 to 507 of the family's 1533-position model. The record is from RNAcentral.